Molecule: ribosomal RNA, 468 nt
Filed under: uncultured bacterium
Lineage: Bacteria
Description: partial 16S ribosomal RNA
Rfam family: Bacterial small subunit ribosomal RNA (bases 20-329)
Source: RNAcentral
GACGAACGCUGGCGGCGUGCUUAACACAUGCAAGUCGAACGGAAAGGCCCUGCUUUUGUGGGGUGCUCGAGUGGCGAACGGGUGAGUAACACGUGAGUAACCUGCCCUUGACUUUGGGAUAACUUCAGGAAACUGGGGCUAAUACCGGAUAGGAGCUCCUGCUGCAUGGUGGGGGUUGGAAAGUUUCGGCGGUUGGGGACGGACUCGCGGCUUAUCAGCUUGUUGGUGGGGUAGUGGCUUACCAAGGCUUUGACGGGUAGCCGGCCUGAGGGGGUGACCGGCCAAAUGGGGAAGGAGGAAGGGCCAGGGCGCGGGCGGGGGGGAGAGGGGGGAAUUGGGAAAAAGGGGGGGGGGGCGAGAGGCGGAAGCGCCGGGGGGGGAGGAAGGGCUUUGGGGUUGAAAACCGGUUUCGCGUGUAAGGAGGGGGGGGGGAAGGGAAAGGGAAAAAAAGAACCGGAAAAAUAGGGG